RNAcentral lists this ribosomal RNA (468 nucleotides) under uncultured bacterium. RNAcentral's name for it is "partial 16S ribosomal RNA". It matches the Rfam family "Bacterial small subunit ribosomal RNA", at positions 28 to 507 of the family's 1533-position model. The record is from RNAcentral.
GACGAACGCUGGCGGCGUGCUUAACACAUGCAAGUCGAACGGAAAGGCCCUGCUUUUGUGGGGUGCUCGAGUGGCGAACGGGUGAGUAACACGUGAGUAACCUGCCCUUGACUUUGGGAUAACUUCAGGAAACUGGGGCUAAUACCGGAUAGGAGCUCCUGCUGCAUGGUGGGGGUUGGAAAGUUUCGGCGGUUGGGGAUGGACUCGCGGCUUAUCAGCGUGUUGGUGGGGUAGUGGCUGACCAAGGCUUUGACGGGUAGCCGGCCUGAGAGGGUGACCGGCCACAUUGGGACUGAGAUACGGCCCAGACUCCUACGGGAGGCAGCAGUGGGGAAUAUUGCAAAAUGGGCGGAAGCCUGAUGCAGCAACGCCGCGUGCGGGAUGACGGCCUUCGGGUUGUAAACCGCUUUCGCCUGUGACGAAGCGUGAGUGACGGUAAUGGGUAAAGAAGCACCGGCUAACUACGUG